Molecule: ribosomal RNA, 256 nt
Filed under: uncultured bacterium
Lineage: Bacteria
Description: partial 16S ribosomal RNA
Rfam family: Bacterial small subunit ribosomal RNA
Source: RNAcentral
UAAUACAGAGGCCACGAGCGUUAGGCGGAAUCACUGGGCUUAAAGCGUGUGUAGGUGGAUCGGUAAGUACCUUGUAAAAUCCCACAGCUCAACUGUGGAACUGCUCGGUAUACUGCCAGUCUUGAGGCACUCAGGGGCGAGCGGAACAAGUGGUGGAGCGGUGAAAUGCGUAGAUAUCACUUGGAACGCCAAUGGUGAAGACAGCUCGCUGGGGGUGAACUGACACUGAGACACGAAAGCCAGGGGAGCGAACGGG